Non-coding RNA from Aegilops tauschii subsp. strangulata, 1813 nucleotides. The record is from RefSeq and is a predicted model, not a curated record. NCBI's taxonomy places the organism in Eukaryota, Viridiplantae, Streptophyta, Magnoliopsida, Poales, Poaceae.
GGUGACUCUAAGGUCUAUAUCCUCAACAGGCACCAAAAAAAUUUCUGCCGUAACAGAUGAUGUAAACUGGUGCCCAAAAAAUUGAGAACCACAUAGAAUAUGACGGUCCGACGGCGGGGAGGCCGAGAGGCGGAUCCGCCGGCAGGGAGGAGCUCGGUGGGAUGGCGAUGGUGACAGCGGAAUCCGGUGGCGGGGAAGUUGGGGGCCGGUUGCAAGAGCUCAGGGACAACGGCGGGGUGCUUGGGGGCGGCGGCGCGGCAGAGGUCGUCGAGGGGCGGGGCACCGCAUAGGUCGCCAAGGGGCGGGAUGGGGCAAUGGGGUGGCGGCUGGGUUCACGGUGGCUGGCGGAGUGGUGGCGGCGGGGGUUCACAGUGGUCGGCGGAGUGGUUGCGGCGGUGGCCGGAAUCGGCCGGUGCGGUGGGGUGAGGCGGCGGUGGAAGUUCACACUGGCGGUUGGGUUCCCAACACAGCCGUAAAAAAAAAUUAGAAAGACACUAGUGAUGCUGCAAAUAUGUAGGACUUGGAGCUAAAUUUGGGUUCCCCAAAAAAUAGUCAUCACCAAAUAGAGAUGCAUAUCUGUUGGAGCUGUUUUUUAACCCAAAUGCCUCAAACGGCAGUUUUUUGGGCACCGCAACUGUUUUACAUCAUCUGUUGGAGAUGCUCUUACUUGCCUACGCAUCCUUGUCCGAUUAGACGCAGGUGAAGACCUUGGUUGGUAGUCGGGGUUCGUCCACGUUGCAUCAUAGUAGGUCAUUCAUAAUUGGACGUGGAGAUGCAAUCCUACCUUAAGCUCAUGCCCUAGCCAAUCUCUUCAGUUUGUACUCCAGUUGAUCGCCAAAGGAAAGCCGGUGAUAUCUGAAUUGAGUGUGAAAAAGGAUUGGCUUGAACUAAAUUUCUGGCUUACGAUGGGUCAAUGAUCCUGAAACCUGCAUUGGCAUGGGAAAACUUUUUUUCCUUUCUGUCCAUGUGAGUGUUCAUUUUCUAGCAAAGUGGUUCUGAUUUCGUCGAUUUCCUUCCAUUUUGAUGAACUGUGCAGGGGGCUCAACUUGGAAAUGAUCGGGCUGAUUCCGCGUCGUCAGCAUCAACCUUGUCACCAGGGAGGCGAUCUGAGGUUUUGGACUGACGCCUGACGAUAGCCACUGUUCAGGAUAUCAAGCAGGAAUUCGGUGGGAGCUGGAGGGGGCGGCGGCCGGUGAAGUUGCUGUCAGGGUGCUGGUUCUUGGGAGAUGGAGUCGAGUUCGGCGGCACCUGGCAGGGGGUGAGACGGCGGUGCUUCGAGUUCGGUGGCUGUUGGUGCCUCGUGGAGGCCUAGAAGAUGAGGAAGACGCGCUGCUCGGUGGAGAGGAAGGGCGUAGCUGGAGCUGGAUUUCGUGGAGAAAAGGUGACGAUCGGUGGAGAGCACUUUUUUAUUUAGGGCUCGGAGCACUCAAAAAAUGCUAGACACACGGACUGCCCACUAAAAUUUACGGACUGGCUGGUCUGAAGCUCCGGAGCACUAGAGCAUGGCGUUUUCCCGCUCUGGCCGUGGAGGGGAAUCAAGACAACAACGCCCCUGGACUCCAUGGGCUUUGUGGGCUAUCCCACAUGUCAUUUAAUUUUACUGGGCACUCACGUAUGCUAUUUAGAUUUAAUUUCGUGGGUGGCAGGACAUGUUGAUGCCGCAACCACUUACAUUCUGAGGCGCUGUGAUUCGAGUAAUUUUGAUGUGGUGGUGUCUUUUAAAUUUUGGAGUGCCAGUCUGUUCUAUUCUCGUCACGGAACAAGAUUCGAUGGAGAUGGUUUGUAACAUCGAGGUAUAUCUUUUGUGCAGUUU